RNAcentral lists this ribosomal RNA (253 nucleotides) under uncultured bacterium. RNAcentral describes it as "partial 16S ribosomal RNA". It matches the Rfam family "Archaeal small subunit ribosomal RNA", at positions 474 to 727 of the family's 1478-position model. The record is from RNAcentral.
UACCAGCACCCCGAGUGGUCGGGACGUUUAUUGGGCCGAAAGCAUCCGUAGCCGGUUCUACAAGUCUUCCGUUAAAUCCACCUGCUUAACAGAUGGGCUGCGGAAGAUACUAUAGAGCUAGGAGGCGGGAGAGGCAAGCGGUACUCGAUGGGUAGGGGUAAAAUCCAUUGAUCCAUUGAAGACCACCAGUGGCGAAGGCGGCUUGCCAGAACGCGCUCGACGGUGAGGGAUGAAAGCUGGGGGAGCAAACCGG